RNAcentral lists this unclassified non-coding RNA (196 nucleotides) under uncultured Ascomycota. RNAcentral's name for it is "sequence contains ITS1". Lineage: Eukaryota; Fungi; Ascomycota. The record is from RNAcentral.
CAGAGUUGCAAGACUCCCAAACCACUGUGAACCUACCCCCAACCGUUGCUUCGGCGGGCCGUCUCCCCCCCGGCAGACCAGCUGGGGGGGCAGCCGCGCAGGCCUCCCUCCCCUUGGGGGGGUGGGCGCCCGCCGGAGGUGCCCAAACCACUGUUCUUUGCAUGGCCUCUCUGAGUAACUGUACCGAAUAAAGUCA